RNAcentral lists this ribosomal RNA (765 nucleotides) under Pseudotrichia thailandica. Its description in RNAcentral is "SSU rRNA". It matches the Rfam family "Eukaryotic small subunit ribosomal RNA", at positions 242 to 1007 of the family's 1831-position model. Lineage: Eukaryota; Fungi; Ascomycota; Dothideomycetes; Pleosporales; Melanommataceae. The record is from RNAcentral.
UUUGGUGAUUCAUGAUAACUUAAACGGAUCGCAUGGCCCUUGCGCCGGGCGACGGGUUCAUUCAAAUUUCUGCCCUAUCAACUUUCGAUGGUAAGGUAUUGGCUUACCAUGGUUUCAACGGGUAACGGGGAAUUAGGGUUCGAUUCCGGAGAGGGAGCUGAGAAACGGCUACCACAUCCAAGGAAGGCAGCAGGCGCGCAAAUUACCCCAAUCCCGACACGGGGAGGUAGUGACAAUAAAUACUGAUACAGGGCUCUUUUGGGUCUUGUAAUCGGAAUGAGUACAAUUUAAACCUCUUAACGAGGAACAAUUGGAGGGCAAGUCUGGUGCCAGCAGCCGCGGUAAUUCCAGCUCCAAUAGCGUAUAUUAAAGUUGUUGCAGUUAAAAAGCUCGUAGUUGAACCUUGGGCCUGGCUGGCUGGUCCGCCUCACCGCGUGUACUGGUCCGGCCGGGCCUUUCCUUCUGGAGAUCCCCAUGCCCUUUACUGGGUGUGUGGGGGAACCAGGACUUUUACUUUGAAAAAAUUAGAGUGUUCAAAGCAGGCCUUUGCUCGAAUACGUUAGCAUGGAAUAAUAGAAUAGGACGUGCGGUCCUAUUUUGUUGGUUUCUAGGAUCGCCGUAAUGAUUAAUAGGGAUAGUCGGGGGCAUCAGUAUUCAAUUGUCAGAGGUGAAAUUCUUGGAUUUAUUGAAGACUAACUACUGCGAAAGCAUUUGCCAAGGAUGUUUUCAUUAAUCAGUGAACGAAAGUUAGGGGAUCGAAGACGA